This 324-nucleotide long non-coding RNA is filed under the name Pan troglodytes (chimpanzee). RNAcentral's name for it is "long non-coding RNA NONPTRT013802". Lineage: Eukaryota; Metazoa; Chordata; Mammalia; Primates; Hominidae. The record is from RNAcentral.
CCUUCCCACCAUCCACCCCACUGGUGUUCACCUCCCUUAUAAUUCCAACCUACUGCACAGCCAGCCACACUGGUACUUCAAUCCCCAUGCCACUGACUUCUUUACUGACACCUGCUGGAAUGAACAACAACUUUUUGCUCCUUGGACAAAUAGAACCCUCCUCUCUCUUCCCCUUUGAGGGCAGUUAUAGGCAAGCAGAUGACUUAAGCUAAGCUUGCAAAGCAAAAGGCUGCUCAUCUGGCAGUUAAAAUGAAUACAGUUCAUUUCACAAGUUUCCCAUAUGGACUCUUAGUGUAUGGUAAUGAGGAGACCAUAUGGUGAGAG